UAUUUUUUAGCCAACUGCUACAAGAUCAAGCCAAAGACUUAUUCCAGCUCCUACUAGACUCCAGUGUGCUAUCAACAGGAGAAGUGUCAAAAAAAAGAAGAAAUUAAAGUGUUCUAAGAUUCUGGUCUUGUUCUUGGGAGAAUAUAACUCAUAGCAUGCUGAGAAUACCAAAAAAUCAUGAUUUCCAGCAGAUAUUCUGACAGUAUAACACCAUGGAAGCGGAGAGAGAAAGCUCUUUGGUAUGAAGAAGGACAUGACACAGGAAGCCCUUGUAGAACUGGAGGAGGAAAUGAAACGCUGCCAUAUCUGGUCCUGGUGAUUGCAGGAGUAGAGGAGAGACACAGGCAAGAUCAAAAGGUCAGAUGCAUAGGUCCCUUACUUUCCCAUUGUUGGGAGGAGCAUGACAUUAUGAAAACAUCCAAUUGGAUGUGGGGAGCCUAAAAAACGGGACAGACUGGUUAGUGGCAUGCUUCCCUGUGUGUUGGCUGAGGAAGUGCUUUACAUGCCCAUGGACAGCCUUGUAUGCCAAACAGCAGACCCACAAGUACA
This is a long non-coding RNA of Gorilla gorilla gorilla (western lowland gorilla), 549 nucleotides long. RefSeq lists it as uncharacterized. The record is from RefSeq and is a predicted model, not a curated record. The transcript is spliced from 3 exons. NCBI's taxonomy places the organism in Eukaryota, Metazoa, Chordata, Mammalia, Primates, Hominidae.